RNAcentral lists this ribosomal RNA (472 nucleotides) under Streptococcus sp. oral taxon 058. RNAcentral's name for it is "bacterial SSU rRNA". It matches the Rfam family "Bacterial small subunit ribosomal RNA", at positions 28 to 485 of the family's 1533-position model. The record is from RNAcentral. Lineage: Bacteria; Bacillati; Bacillota; Bacilli; Lactobacillales; Streptococcaceae.
GACGAACGCUGGCGGCGUGCCUAAUACAUGCAAGUAGAACGCUGAAGGAGGAGCUUGCUUCUCUGGAUGAGUUGCGAACGGGUGAGUAACGCGUAGGUAACCUGCCUGGUAGCGGGGGAUAACUAUUGGAAACGAUAGCUAAUACCGCAUAAAAUUGAUUAUUGCAUGAUAGUCAAUUAAAAGGUGCAAUUGCAUCACUACCAGAUGGACCUGCGUUGUAUUAGCUAGUUGGUGAGGUAACGGCUCACCAAGGCAACGAUACAUAGCCGACCUGAGAGGGUGAUCGGCCACACUGGGACUGAGACACGGCCCAGACUCCUACGGGAGGCAGCAGUAGGGAAUCUUCGGCAAUGGACGGAAGUCUGACCGAGCAACGCCGCGUGAGUGAAGAAGGUUUUCGGAUCGUAAAGCUCUGUUGUAAGAGAAGAACGAGUGUGAGAGUGGAAAGUUCACACUGUGACGGUAUCUACCA